This 455-nucleotide ribosomal RNA is filed under the name uncultured bacterium. RNAcentral's name for it is "bacterial SSU rRNA". It matches the Rfam family "Bacterial small subunit ribosomal RNA", at positions 340 to 787 of the family's 1533-position model. The record is from RNAcentral.
UAUGGGAGCAGCAGUGGGGAAUAUUGCACAAUGGGCGCAAGCCUGAUGCAGCCAUGCCGCGUGUAUGAAGAAGGCCUUCGGGUUGUAAAGUACUUUCAGCGGGGAGGAAGGCGAUGCGGUUAAUAACCGCGUCGAUUGACGUUACCCGCAGAAGAAGCACCGGCUAACUCCGUGCCAGCAGCCGCGGUAAUACGGAGGGUGCAAGCGUUAAUCGGAAUUACUGGGCGUAAAGCGCACGCAGGCGGUCUGUUAAGUCAGAUGUGAAAUCCCCGGGCUUAACCUGGGAACUGCAUUUUGAAACUGGCAGGCUUGAGUCUUGUAGAGGGGGUAGAAUUCCAGGUGUAGCGGUGAAAUGCGUAGAGAUCUGGAGGAAUACCGGUGGCGAAGGCGGGCCCCUGGGACAAAGCUGACGCUCAGGUGCGAAAGCGUGGGGAGCAAACGAGGAUUAGAUAACC